GACGACGGGUAGCCGGCCUGAGAGGGCGACCGGCCACACUGGGACUGAGACACGGCCCAGACUCCUACGGGAGGCAGCAGUGGGGAAUAUUGCACAAUGGGGGAAACCCUGAUGCAGCGACGCAGCGUGCGGGAUGACGGCCUUCGGGUUGUAAACCGCUUUCAGCAGGGAAGAAGCGAAAGUGACGGUACCUGCAGAAGAAGUACCGGCUAACUACGUGCCAGCAGCCGCGGUAAUACGUAGGGUACGAGCGUUGUCCGGAAUUAUUGGGCGUAAAGAGCUCGUAGGUGGUUGGUCACGUCUGCUGUGGAAACGCAACGCUUAACGUUGCGCGUGCAGUGGGUACGGGCUGACUAGAGUGCAGUAGGGGAGUCUGGAAUUCCUGGUGUAGCGGUGAAAUGCGCAGAUAUCAGGAGGAACACCGGUGGCGAAGGCGGGACUCUGGGCUGUAACUGACACUGAGGAGCGAAAGCAUGGGGAGCGAACAGGAUUAGAUACCCUGGUAGUCCAUGCCGUAAACGUUGGGCACUAGGUGUGGGGGACAUUCCACGUUCUCCGCGCCGUAGCUAACGCAUUAAGUGCCCCGCUGGGGAAAGUACGGA
Molecule: ribosomal RNA, 602 nt
Filed under: Brevibacterium sp.
Lineage: Bacteria; Bacillati; Actinomycetota; Actinomycetes; Micrococcales; Brevibacteriaceae
Description: bacterial SSU rRNA
Rfam family: Bacterial small subunit ribosomal RNA
Source: RNAcentral